GACACUGGCUGACAAUGAAGAGGAACGUAAGGCUUUCAUGGAAGCUGGACUUAACCAUUGCUUGGCAAAGCCCUUAAGCAAAGCCAAGAUCCUCCCUCUCAUCAACAAUCUCAUGGAUGCUUGAUGGAUGGAUGAAUUGUCGCCACUACAUAUCUACAUUAUAUAAAUAUGAAAAACACAUAAUAACGUCAGCUUAUACACCUGUGUGUGUAUGCAUAUAUCUAUCUGCAUGUGUGUGUUUUAGGGUUGUUAUGUUUGAUUUUUAUCGUGCGUGGCGUGAUAUACAAUCAUGUAAGUCAUUACUUUUGGCUUAUAAAAUAAUGAAUAAGAUUUCUUAUGAUCAGAUGCAUUCGAUUUCCAUUUCAAUUAACUAGAUCUACUUGGUACAUUCAAUUUGCAAUCUGCUAAAAAUCCAUACCUAUAUUUAACUGAUCCGGAUUAUAGAUUACAACCGUAGAUUUUGAGGAACGUCUUCGUAGUUUAUCUCCAUUUUUUUUUUUUCCUUUCUCUUUUUCUCUAGUUAGAUUUUAUCCAUUCCAGACAAAACUACAGAUGUAUAACUUACAGAAAAUAUCAGACAUAACUUAACUACAUCUCAAUAUCUCUUUACUUGUGGUUAUUUGUUUUCACAUGCUUUUGGUUUAAGCCUUCUAGCUUUAGAGACUAACAAGGAAUGUUAAUUAGGAUUUUUGAUAAGAGUGAAAUUCACUUGGGGAAAGUCAACUUGUUAGAAAACUAACUAGUUUGUUAUUGUAUCUCUAUCAGCGUGUUAAUUAUUACUCUUUGUGGGUUGCUAGUUGCUACAAGUUAAAUUUGAUUUCAGCUUUCCAACUCGGAUUUAUUCCCGAUUUAAACUCAGUCUAACCGUCACUCCGGUCCAAUUUAAGAACAUUGGACACAACUAAACUUCCACUCACAAGUUUCCAAAGUUCAACUCUUCUUUUCACACAGCCAGAUUGGUAUGAUCGAAUCAUGGAAUCGUAUACGUGAACCUACUCAAAUACCUCACUUUAAUACAAGAAGAAGUUCAAAAUCUUUUAAUAACCACAACCCGGUUUAGGAAACCAAUCAAAAACAUCCCGGUUUAUCUUACCUAGACCGUAAUUCAUUAAAUAGCCCAUGGGCCUUUAAAAUCAUCAUAGUUAAGCCCAUUAUAAUUUCGACAUAUAUAAACAAAAAAAAAAAAAAAAUACACAUGCAUUAGAACACUUGUAUGUUAAUUUCCAUAAUGUUUUGUUUAAACAUUCUUCGUUUUAAUUAGAUUCUUUUUGUGUGAAGAUUGUUCGAAGAAGAAAAAACCGAAGAUGGCAACAACAUCCACGGGAGAUAUCGAGAAAACGAAGUCAGUAGAAGUGAAGAAGAAACUUAACGUGUUGAUCGUCGAUGAUGAUCCUGUAAUUCGUAAACUUCACGAGAUUAUCAUCAAAUCAAUCGGUGGAAUUUCACAGACAGCUAAGAACGGUGAGGAGGCAGUGAACAUCCACCGCGACGGCAAUGCAUCUUUCGACCUUAUCCUAAUGGAUAAAGAAAUGCCCGAGAGGGAUGGACUUUCGGUACAAUUAAAUAAUAAUCUUUAAUUUAAUUUGUGUCGAUCAUCACUACACUUAUUAAGCUCCUCUUUAAAAUACUUUUUUAUGUCCUUUUGUUGGUUUUGUUUAGGCAACUAAGAAGCUAAGAGAAAUGAAAGUGACGUCUAUGAUUAUUGGGGUGACGACACUGGCUGACAAUGAAGAGGAACGUAAGGCUUUCAUGGAAGCUGGACUUAACCAUUGCUUGGCAAAGCCCUUAAGCAAAGCCAAGAUCCUCCCUCUCAUCAACAAUCUCAUGGAUGCUUGAUGGAUGGAUGAAUUGUCGCCACUACAUAUCUACAUUAUAUAAAUAUGAAAAACACAUAAUAACGUCAGCUUAUACACCUGUGUGUGUAUGCAUAUAUCUAUCUGCAUGUGUGUGUUUUAGGGUUGUUAUGUUUGAUUUUUAUCGUGCGUGGCGUGAUAUACAAUCAUGUAAGUCAUUACUUUUGGCUUAUAAAAUAAUGAAUAAGAUUUCUU
RNAcentral lists this long non-coding RNA (2048 nucleotides) under Brassica napus (rape). RNAcentral's name for it is "long non-coding RNA (BNAP_LNC017182)". Lineage: Eukaryota; Viridiplantae; Streptophyta; Magnoliopsida; Brassicales; Brassicaceae. The record is from RNAcentral.